CAGCAGCCGCGGGAAAACGUAGGUGGCAAGCGUUGUCCGGAAUUAUUGGGCGUAAAGGGCUCGCAGGCGGUUUCUUAAGUCUGAUGUGAAAGCCCCCGGCUCAACCGGGGAGGGUCAUUGGAAACUGGGAAACUUGAGUGCAGAAGAGGAGAGUGGAAUUCCACGUGUAGCGGUGAAAUGCGUAGAGAUGUGGAGGAACACCAGUGGCGAAGGCGACUCUCUGGUCUGUAACUGACGCUGAGGAGCAAAAGCGUGGGGAGCGAACAGGAUUAGAUACCCCCGUAGUCCCUGUCUCUUAUAC
RNAcentral lists this ribosomal RNA (301 nucleotides) under uncultured bacterium. RNAcentral describes it as "partial 16S ribosomal RNA". It matches the Rfam family "Bacterial small subunit ribosomal RNA", at positions 509 to 807 of the family's 1533-position model. The record is from RNAcentral.